ACGGGUGAGGAAUACAUCGGAAUCUACCUUUUCGUGGGGGAUAACGUAGGGAAACUUACGCUAAUACCGCAUAAGACCUUCGGGUGAAAGCCGGGGACCUUCGGGCCUGGCGCGGAUAGAUGAGCCGAUGUCGGAUUAGCUUGUUGGCGGGGUAAAAGCCCACCAAGGCGACGAUCCGUAGCUGGUCUGAGAGGAUGAUCAGCCACACUGGAACUGAGACACGGUCCAGACUCCUACGGGAGGCAGCAGUGGGGAAUAUUGGACAAUGGGCGCAAGCCUGAUCCAGCCAUACCGCGUGGGUGAAGAAGGCCUUCGGGUUGUAAAGCCCUUUUGUUGGGAAAGAAAUCCUGCCGGUUAAUAACCAGUAGGGAUGACGGUACCCAAAGAAUAAGCACCGGCUAACUUCGUGCCAGCAGCCGCGGUAAUACGAAGGGUGCAAGCGUUACUCGGAAUUACUGGGCGUAAAGCGUGCGUAGGUGGUUGUUUAAGUCUGUCGUGAAAGCCCUGGGCUCAACCUGGGAAUUGCGAUGGAUACUGGGCGACUAGAGUGUGGUAGAGGAUAGUGGAAUUUCCGGUGUA
This 579-nucleotide ribosomal RNA is filed under the name Pseudoxanthomonas sp. BvORR137. RNAcentral's name for it is "bacterial SSU rRNA". It matches the Rfam family "Bacterial small subunit ribosomal RNA", at positions 102 to 677 of the family's 1533-position model. The record is from RNAcentral. Lineage: Bacteria; Pseudomonadati; Pseudomonadota; Gammaproteobacteria; Lysobacterales; Lysobacteraceae.